This 353-nucleotide unclassified non-coding RNA is filed under the name soil metagenome. RNAcentral's name for it is "partial contains 5.8S ribosomal RNA, internal transcribed spacer 2, and large subunit ribosomal RNA". The stretch from base 1 to 120 matches the Rfam family "5.8S ribosomal RNA", at positions 35 to 154 of the family's 154-position model. The record is from RNAcentral.
GAUGAAGAACGCAGCGAAAUGCGAUAAGUAAUGUGAACUGCAGAAUUCAGUGAAUCAUCGAAUCUUUGAACGCACAUUGCGCCCGCCAGUAUUCUGGCGGGCAUGCCUGUUCGAGCGUCAUUACAACCCUCAGGCCCCCGGGCCUGGCGUUGGGGAUCGGCGGAAGCCCCCUGCGGGCACAACGCCGUCCCCCAAAUACAGUGGCGGUCCCGCCGCAGCUUCCAUUGCGUAGUAGCUAACACCUCGCAACUGGAGAGCGGCGCGGCCACGCCGUAAAACACCCAACUUCUGAAUGUUGACCUCGAAUCAGGUAGGAAUACCCGCUGAACUUAAGCAUAUCAAUAAGCGGAGGA